ACAAGCGGUGGAGCAUGUGGUUUAAUUCGAAGCAACGCGAAGAACCUUACCAGGUCUUGACAUCCCGAUGCUAUUUCUAGAGAUAGAAAGUUACUUCGGUACAUCGGUGACAGGUGGUGUAUGGUUGUCGUCAGCUCGUGUCGUGAGAUGUUGGGUUAAGUCCCGCAACGAGCGCAACCCUUAUUGCUAGUUACUAUCAUUAAGUUGGGGACUCUAGCGAGACUGCCAGUGAUAAACUGGAGGAAGUGGGGAUGACGUCAAAUCAUCAUGCCCCUUAUGACCUGGGCUACAAACGUGAUACAAUGGCUGAAACAAAGGGCAGCGAAGCAGUGAUGUGGAGCGAAACCCAAAAAAGCAGUCUCAGUUCGGAUUGAAGUCUGCAACUCGACUUCAUGAAGUUGGAAUCGCUAGUAAUCGUAGAUCAGAACGCUACGGUGAAUACGUUCUCGGGGUUU
Molecule: ribosomal RNA, 455 nt
Filed under: uncultured bacterium
Lineage: Bacteria
Description: bacterial SSU rRNA
Rfam family: Bacterial small subunit ribosomal RNA
Source: RNAcentral